Asparagus officinalis (garden asparagus) is the source of this 270-nucleotide long non-coding RNA. RefSeq lists it as uncharacterized. The record is from RefSeq and is a predicted model, not a curated record. NCBI's taxonomy places the organism in Eukaryota, Viridiplantae, Streptophyta, Magnoliopsida, Asparagales, Asparagaceae. The transcript is spliced from 3 exons.
UGUUAAGCCGGCGAUCAACUAUAUUACAAGAUACAACAAACCAGACACUAGGAGGGAAAUCACGCUUAUGGAUAUAAGUGGAAUGCCAAUGCGUGCAAGUUUAUUUGGAGAUUUGGCUACAAAUGAAGGAUCAAUUCUUGAAGCAGAAAUCAAAUAUAAGCCUGUAAUAGCAUUAUCAGAUUUUAAAAUCUCUAUAUAUCAAGGAGAUACAAGCAUAUCGUCGCAAAUUAUUUUAACAUUAUGUAUCAACCCAAAAAUAGAACUAGCUAG